AUUGGGGGAAUUUACCCUGGCAGCAAGGGGCUGUGUGUGUUACACCUGCUGGAUGGAAGGAGAGCUUGGAGGCCAGAGGGAAAGAGAUGGAACAUGAAGGAAAGCUCGCAGCUGAGGCGCGAGGUAAUAGGGCCCGGAAAGGAAAUGGCAGUAGAGACAGCCAGAGGCGCAGAGUCCCGGAGAGAAUGCAGGCUGGGGAUCGCUUGCCUUCUGAGUCAUGGCAGAGAGCAGGUGGACAGAGGAUGUCUCUUCAAGCAGAAGGUCAAGCAGUAGAUGCACUUCAUCCAUGGAUUUUUGGGUGACACUUUCUGGAUGCUUUUCAUUAAAUAACCUUCAACUCUCUUGGCCAGAGGAGAGAAGAAGAAGGAAGAGAAAAUUCACCACACUGUUUAUUUGUGUCUGAAAAAAAGAAAA
This is a long non-coding RNA of Talpa occidentalis (Iberian mole), 414 nucleotides long. RefSeq lists it as uncharacterized. The transcript has 3 exons. The record is from RefSeq and is a predicted model, not a curated record. Lineage: Eukaryota; Metazoa; Chordata; Mammalia; Eulipotyphla; Talpidae.